AAGUCGUAACAAGGUUUCCGUAGGUGAACCUGCGGAAGGAUCAUUACAAUUCUUGGGCGUGCCCAUGUCGGGAGGCGCUGUAAGCCCGCAUAGUUUAAAUGCACUGAAGAGCGGCAGGCGCUUCUGUCUGAACCCUUGUCCUUUGCGCACCUUUGUUUCCGCGGCGGGUUCGCCCGCCGGCUGGACUAUACUAUAACCUUUUUAAUUUUCAAUCAGCGUCUGAAAAAACAAAUAAUUACAACUUUCAACAACGGAUCUCUUGGUUCUG
Molecule: unclassified non-coding RNA, 268 nt
Filed under: Phaeosphaeria berlesei
Lineage: Eukaryota; Fungi; Ascomycota; Dothideomycetes; Pleosporales; Phaeosphaeriaceae
Description: partial internal transcribed spacer region
Rfam family: Eukaryotic small subunit ribosomal RNA (bases 1-46)
Source: RNAcentral